UCUGCCCUUGACUCUGGGAUAAGCGUUGGAAACGACGUCUAAUACCGGAUACGACCUUGGAAGGCAUCUUCUGGGGUGGAAAGAAUUUUGGUCAGGGAUGAGCUCGCGGCCUAUCAGCUAGUUGGUGAGGUAAUGGCUCACCAAGGCGACGACGGGUAGCCGGCCUGAGAGGGUGACCGGCCACACUGGGACUGAGACACGGCCCAGACUCCUACGGGAGGCAGCAGUGGGGAAUAUUGCACAAUGGGCGAAAGCCUGAUGCAGCAACGCCGCGUGAGGGACGACGGCCUUCGGGUUGUAAACCUCUUUUAGUAGGGAAGAAGCGAAAGUGACGGUACCUGCAGAAAAAGCACCGGCUAACUACGUGCCAGCAGCCGCGGUAAUACGUAGGGUGCAAGCGUUGUCCGGAAUUAUUGGGCGUAAAGAGCUCGUAGGCGGUUUGUCGCGUCUGCUGUGAAAACCCGAGGCUCAACCUCGGGCCUGCAGUGGGUACGGGCAGACUAGAGUGCGGUAGGGGAGAUUGGAAUUCCUGGUGUAGCGGUGGAAUGCGCAGAUAUCAGGAGGAACACCAAUGGCGAAGGCAGAUCUCUGGGCCGUAACUGACGCUGAGGAGCGAAAGCAUGGGGAGCGAACAGGAUUAGAUACCCUGGUAGUCCAUGCCGUAAACGUUGGGAACUAGAUGUGGGGACCAUUCCACGGUCUCCGUGUCGCAGCUAACGCAUUAAGUU
This 728-nucleotide ribosomal RNA is filed under the name Actinobacteridae bacterium 15-01bPB. RNAcentral's name for it is "bacterial SSU rRNA". It matches the Rfam family "Bacterial small subunit ribosomal RNA", at positions 125 to 866 of the family's 1533-position model. The record is from RNAcentral. Lineage: Bacteria; Bacillati; Actinomycetota; Actinomycetes.